AGUAGUUGUCAUACUUGUCAAAUGUCUGUAGUCUGCACAAUUAAAGGCCUGUGGGGAGAAGUUGGGGAGGGGGGAGCACUGUUUGAAAGAGAAUUUACAAUGAAAGAGAGUCUUCUCUUAAACAAUCAACAGGACACUAAUGAGAACUCUCCCUGUGGUUCUGACGCUCUCCCAAGAAGCAAAAGACAAAAGGUUUCAUUGUUAUCUGCCUGUUAUCUUACAAUUCUUCCAAGUCACUCUGUAAGAAGGCUGAAACACAGAGCAUGUAACAAGGUAGGCAGACCUUAUAGGGACUCUUGUCCAUGGGACAAACAUUUCUUCAAACCUUCCUCAAGCACUCCUUUGAGAAGAGGGGAGGGAGUGGGGCCACGUAAAAGCUGAGUUUAGUCUUGUUUCUGCUCUAACAUGAUUGUGUAUUCCUUUGCAGUGUUGGAUAAAAUAGUUGGCAGUAUGGUCCCUUUGACUUAGCAUUAGCCCUUCGUGUAAGGGAUCUUGAAGUGGUUUCAUUUCAUAACAUGUUCCUCAUUAAUUGAUGUUUUAUUGUAAUUGUCUUCCAAGACCUCUUAACUUCAGAACACUACAGUUCAUUGUAGAAGAGCACCCUGGGCAAUACUUUGUAAGCACAAAUGAUUUGGUUUUCAGCCAUAAAACAGAGUAAUACAUCCUAUAUUGAGAAACAGCUGAUUGUGUUUAAGGCAACUUAAUAAGUUGUUUGUUAAUGUAGUUAACACCCCAGACUGCAUGUGUUUGGACUGCGUUCUCAACAAUGAAUGACUGUUCUGUUCUCUGUGAGAUUAAGGCAUUUUUAGGAUACUAGUUAACCACAGAAUUAAAUCCCAGCAGUUAUGUAAAGUUGCAUUUCUAUACUUGUUCAAACUCAAAGGUUGUUCUGGUUAAGUAGAAUAGCUUUCCUGAUUAUUAUCUCCCUAGUGGUAGACUGUUAGCUUGUUCAUGUUUACUGUUAAUCAAUUUUUAAAUUUCUGUUUAUAGGUUCUGUGACUUCUUCAAAAGAGGUAUAAGUGAGGUUCAAAACAGUUUUGUCAUUUGGUUAGUUUGACCUAAGUGGUAAUGAACAGCUUCUUCCAAGUGUUCUUGAUUACAGUAGAAUCAAUGUUAAUUUUUAUAAGCAGUUGUUGUGCUAAUUUAUAAAAUGCAAAUGAAGUGAUGUGGCUUGAUUCACAGAAAGGUGGAGCUCAAAACUACAGCUGUUAAUUUGAACAACACCCAAACACCUUUUGCAACAACUGACUUCAGGUUACAUGAUAAAGACAAAGUUCUAUGAGGGUGUCACAAUGUCUUGCUUUUUUCCUUAAAGUCUCUUAUUUUCUUCACAUUUUGCUGUUCAUUAGUUUUUACUCUCUGGGAGAGAAGAAAAGUGUUUUAGUUGGUUGGGUUUUGUUUUCUUUGGUGCUGUUUAACCGGAAUGGAAAAGGUGUUUUUGCUAAAAACCUCACUUGUAAACUUUUUUCAAUAGAGAAGACAGACACAUUUUCUUAUCUUAAAAAUAAAACAGAAACAUCACCAAAAAAAAAAUAAUCA
Molecule: long non-coding RNA, 1539 nt
Filed under: Anas platyrhynchos platyrhynchos (common mallard)
Lineage: Eukaryota; Metazoa; Chordata; Aves; Anseriformes; Anatidae
Description: lncRNA (ENSAPLG00000029142.1)
Source: RNAcentral